AUGGGGAGAACAUGUGUUUAUGUUCAUCAUGUGGAUAAAGAGGCCUUUUUGAAAGGCAAUGUUGAGACGGACCCGGAUGAGCUUGACAUGGUGUUUGAGAGUAGUCCUAGCUAUGCGGAGCUUUUGAAACAAGUGAGGAAAGAUUUGAAUUGGAUGGACCCAAGUGACGUUGUUGAGUUCGAGGGAAGGCAUAAUGUUGGUUUAGGAAUGCACAUCCGUUGGAAGACAAUGCGUGUGACAUCCGUGGUGGUGGUGGAGAAUACGGCACCGGCCAAUUCCAAGAGCCUCGUGAGCAAUCCCGUUGUGGGGGCUGCAGUAAUGGGGGACACAACACAAGAACUUGUCCCAAACCAAGAAAGAGAUCAAAGAAAAAUGGUGCAAGCACAAGCCAAACAAAUGAUAGCCAACCAAGUGAACCAAGGGGUAGCCAACCAAGUCAAACAAGUGGUGGAGUACCAAACCACUCAAAUCAAACAAGCCAACGAGGAACUAGGCAACAAAGAGGGAGUCAUCUUGGUCUUAGAAGAGGCCGUGGUGGUGGUCUUGGCCGUGGUGAUGGUCUUGGCCGUGGUGGUGGUAGAGGCCGUGGUGAUGGUCUUGGCCGUGGUGAAGGUCUUGUCCGUGGUGAUGGUCUUGGCUGUGGUGGUGGUAGAGGUCGUGGUGAUGGUCUUGGUCGUGGUGAAAGUCUUGGUCGU
This 695-nucleotide ribosomal RNA is filed under the name Triticum aestivum (bread wheat). RNAcentral describes it as "partial small subunit ribosomal RNA". Lineage: Eukaryota; Viridiplantae; Streptophyta; Magnoliopsida; Poales; Poaceae. The record is from RNAcentral.